CAAAUGCCGGCCCUUUUUUCCAAAUUUGUGGAUCAGAAGUGGCCCUUACAUGGGACAUUCCAAUAGCCCACAAAUUGUUCUCGACAACAAACACGAUAGGCAACUUCCACAAUGCAGCCAUGUUCAAGCACUCGAAGAACUGGCCAUUGUUACAAGUACCAUCUCCAAAAAAGGCUAAGGUCACCUCAUCACAGUCCUCCUUCAAAACCUCCCUCUUGUACUUGCUAGUGAAGGCAGCACCUGUAGCCACGGGAAUGCCU
RNAcentral lists this long non-coding RNA (260 nucleotides) under Olea europaea (common olive). Its description in RNAcentral is "long non-coding RNA (OEUR_LNC005796)". The record is from RNAcentral. Lineage: Eukaryota; Viridiplantae; Streptophyta; Magnoliopsida; Lamiales; Oleaceae.